GUUAUUGGGUUUGGUUUGGCUUUUUCCACCAUCAGACAAGUUAAUAUAGUUGGUUCCUUCAAUCAAGAUUUGAAUCCAUCUGAUCACCUGCCCUAACCUAAUCUACUCUUCUCUCCGCUCCUGGCUUUUGGCAGCCUUUAGCUGUAACCACAAGCAUCAACUCUGAACUGUGAGGUGCCCUUCCCACCUCAACACUCUCUUCUGAUAAUGGUUGGUUGCCAAAAUAAGUCCCCUGUGGCUUAGAGGUGAAGGGAAAAAUAGCUUUUCUAAAUCUCUUGACUCGUUUGGGUAAGGUGGUUUUCUUUUUUUCCAUGAAGCAUGUAGUUUGUGGCAGUUCAGCCUCUGCAGUGGAUUGUUCAUGCCAGGGUUAGAACACGGAGAGUAGAUGUCAAGCUGAGCAGGAUCUCCUAAGCCACUGGGCACAGAGAAAGGGAAGAGAGAGAGACUGCCAAAAAUGUUGGUAAGGUGACCAUGCCGCAAAACCUUUGGUUGUCCUUGUCACAUGCAUUGGUGGCCAACAUGUUACACACCCCCCACCCCAGUCUCCUCAGGCCUGGGGAUGGGAGCAUGGGAGAAUGUCAGAGACCGUUGUGAAUGAGAGGGACCCGUCCCCUCAGAAGAAAGGAGGCUUCCAAAAUCACAAGGACCCUCGGACCCUUUUGGACCUGACCUGCAGACCGUGUCCUUGGGAGAAGGGGGUGGUGAUGAAUUUGCUGUUGCAUUGGGUGUAGGUGGCAGCGUGUUGGACACGCCCAGUAUCAUUAUAAUUGAAAUUCUUUAUCAAGUGCCUGGGUGUUUAUCUUGGAGAGCUUGAAAGAGUUAUGAAUCUGACGAGUGCAUAUCAGGCUGGGGUGGAGAGCACAAGAACAAUCAUCAUCAGUGUGGCAGGCAAUAUAUUAUGGCUGGCUUGCCAGAUUGAAAAGUGAAUGUGAUUUGUCUUUGUGUUUGCUUUACCAAGGGAUAAGAGACUGUUUUGCUUGCUCAGGUGUUUAGAGUAUUUUAACUCUGCCUUUGUCUUGCUGUGUUUGGGAAUUAGCUUCUAAGUGUUUGUGCAUUCCUCCUUCUCAAACUGGAGGUUAUUUGUGUGUUUGUUCAGAAUGAAACAGGUCUGCUGUGUGUGAUAUUACUUCACGCUCUCAUUGAUUGCUUUGCUGCUGCUGCAGUUUUGGAGGGGAAGUGGCACAAAGAAGCUGAAGUAGCGUUUCUGUUUGAGAAGAAUGAGGCACAGAAUUGUGCUAUUUAUUUAAGAAGCUGUUGCUAUGUUUAUUAAAACAGCAUUGGUUUCUGUAAGUCUCCUCUUCUGCUGUAAGAGAGGAGGAUAAAAAGCAAGAAUUCCAGUUCAGGUUAAAGGACUCAUAAGUAAGAAAGACACCUGAAAGGGAGACAAACAGGUGCAAACAGUGACAUUCAGAAAACCAUAUAGUGGCAAAAAAUUAGUCUUUUGGCUUCUCAAGUAAGCUUUCUUCCUCCUGACAUGGCUCUCUGCUUCUGGAACAGAAGUAGUUUGCAUCUGGGCAGCCCAGAGCUGGGGCACAGAGUCUGUCGGUCCUCAUCCAUGCAGUCAUGGCCUUAGCGUGACAUUAAUGCCAAAUGUGUGGCUGGUAGUAUUUUUUUUGAGAGAAUUAUUGAAUUUGACACUGACACAGGAAGGAUUCUAUAGGCUAUCUCCAGACUUUUUCCUGCAGGGAGCAGGAACCAUUCCAUAAUAACUCACCAUCCGAUUUACCUAGAGAUGUCACAAAAUAUUCUCUCCAAGUGGCCUGCGUAAGUACUGGAUGGUUAGAGGACUUGUUUGUUUGUUUGUUUCUUAAUUCUCUAGGAAUAAUUCAUUGGCUGACAGCUGUGUUUGUGCAAUGACUAGGUGUACCCCUUAGAAACAAGCCCUGACAAUCUACUCAGCACCCAAUUUGGCUUUGCUGCAUCUGUGCACUUGUAGUCACUCUGUUAUGCAAUCUCUGUGCCUCUACCCACAGUCUGUUGACAUUCAUUUAUUCAUUUGAUUUCAGCUUCACAUGCAGCAACCGCUGUCAUUUCCAUAUUACAAAAGGAGGCUAGGAACAUGUUGAUACAAGGCUUGGGCUCGUGUCUAUGCUCAGAGAACAGAUGGGGAAAGCUCUGUAGUCAUCAACAAAAAGAGGGUACUCAAGGACAUCUUCCCUUUGGUUGCAGGCUCUGUUGGGAGACAUGAUCGGAAGUGGGACUUCCAUUCCAUGAGAAAGGUUGGAAUAAAAAUUUUGUCCUAUUUUUGCAAAAUAAAAUUCCAGUUUUUAGUGGAUGGGAAGAGGCAAGACUGUUACAAUUUUCAGAGAAACAACCCAAAUGCUCUGAUACUUCUGAAACAAAAACAUAACUGAAACACCAAGGAAGAAGUACAUCUUCUUGCUUUGGGUCCUUCAAAGGGUCUAGGAUCCAGUCACCCUCAGUUAGGGCAAGAAUAAACAGUGGAUCUUUUGAACAUGGCAUUCCCAGCUCUGUGACGCAGCUAGGAACCGCCAAAGUCAUCACAAAAGGCAGCUCUUCCAGCAUCUCCCCCCUACCUCUUGGUUCCUAGAAAUGCCCAUUAUGGUAUGAGGAACAGACAGUUUACAGUAAGCACACAAAAAAGAUUUAGAGGUGAUUUUUUGACUAAAUGGUUUCAGGUUUGCCCAGGGCUGUGGGGAAAUGGACUGGGUAGCUCUUACUUGAUUUCUCACUGUACUCAUCUCUCUAGCUAUUGCUCUUCUUUUCAGUAUACAUUGCCUACCUUUGCCUCCUCCAUUUCCAAUUUGAUCUAUCAGCUUGACACAAGAAAAGUGAUGUGGGUACAUUUCUCAUCUGUAUUGCAGGAUAAAAGCUGCCCUCUUAUUUCUACCAUUUGGAGAGGCGAGAAAAUGUGGACAAGCUCCCCACAAAAAAGUAAGACCAGCAGGUGCCCUUUCAUUUUCUGGGACUGUCUGCUUGUCCUAGAGGAAGAUGGAUCUUGGCUGAGAGACAAAAACACAAAGCACUUAUUGGAUAAUCUUCUACCGGUGACAAAGGCUGCAAUGAUAAAGGAAACGAGAAGCUUCCUGGAGGCAAAAUGCAGGUCACCUGGAAAUGCUGACUUUAGCCUUUGCACAUCUUAAUUUGACCUCCUGUCACAAACUGGCCAAAGCUCUAAAAGGACCUACUUUAUCUCUCUAGAGAUAGGAAACUUGCCUCCCUGUAAUUUUUAUCUAACGCAGUUAUGCUGUAGAAUUGUGAUGACUGCCUCUGCAGCACUCGCCUGCUGCUAUAAUGGGAUAAUUGCAGAUAAAGUGCUGUGAAGAGGGCUUCCCAGCAGCAGAGAAUAUGACAUUUGACUCAGCAAAUUGAAAAGUCAUGAUAAAAGAGGAGGGUAUAUUGAGGAAUGUCUGGAUCCACACGGUUCAUGGAUGAGGGAGAGAUGCCACCACUGCCAGCCCCGUGGUGCUUCUCAGCCCAUCACCCCAUGCAGAAAACAGUCCUCCUACAAGAAGACCCGAAGCAAUUUCCUUGUGUUGUACAAAGACUUUUAAUUCACCAUGGGACCCUUCAGCAGACUCCUCCAGGGCUUGGAGGAAGAAGGAUGGGGCCACGUCUGUGUCCAUUACCCAACAUUGUCUUGGGGCAGGAGCCACCUCUUUUUCCAUAGCACCUAUAGGAGCUAUCGACCAUACACUGUGUAAAUGCUGCAGAAGUUAUGUAAGUUAGGAGGCAAAUGCUUCUGGCCACUGUAAUUCAGCAUUGCUCUGUUGACUUGUGACCCAAAGCAUGCUAACAAAUUGUGUGUGUCAGAGGCAAUAAGUGAUGUGAAAACAGAUGAUCACUGGGUGUCAUUUAAAUUCGCAAAGGGUUUAAAAUAUUUGCCAGGCUUCAGUCAGGAGAAUGACUUUUUACUUUUAUGUGUGGAAAUGGCCAUGUGCUUGUAUAUAAAACGUUCCCAAUAGCCACCAUUUUAGGAAGUUCAUUCCACAAAGGAGUCUCAAAACCAAACUAAUUUUACCAUGCCAGCCCUUUCAUUGCCAUGAACUGAGUGCUUUAAACAAUUGUCUAAAGAAAAGUUUAUUGGUGUUGCAGGCAAGCUCAGGCUGCUGGGACUCGUGGUUUGAUUUGUUUUGUUUUGUUUUGUUCUGUGUUUUUGGUUUUGUUUUGUUGUUGUUGUUUGGGGUUUUUUUUGUUUGUUUGUUUGGUUGGUUUUUUUUAAUGUCAAAAACCAGGCUAUCCAAGUUCACACCAACAGAGAUGGAUUUAAUUCAGUUGUUUUCCUUUCUUUCUGGGCUGACUUCUUGUUUGGUUCAUUUUCUAUCUGCUUAACCCUUUGCUAACUUAAGAAAUGGUAUUCAAUGAUUGACAUCUGCAUAUCCUUAAUUGUAUGUUGGUAUUGGAUUGUAAGAGCAACAUAUUUGUUGUAAUAGCUAGGAGAAGAAAGAUGCGUGAUAUUUUGGGAGUGGGCAGGAGGGUGCAUGUGUGAUGAAAAUUAGGCAACCAGUUAAAUUCCCUGUUGACAAUCACGACAUGCGUUAUCUGCUAUCUCAUCGUGCCUGUGCAGAGCUAUCAACAGCUGUGAUAUCACAGCUGUCAACUCAUACCACCUUGCAACUUAUGAUUAACAGGAUUUCCUCUUCGGUUAUUAAAGUAAUAACAAGAGAUACUCUGUGGAAAGCAACAGAACUCGCAGCAAUUGAAUGUACUCUUUCCCUGAAAUACAUCUCAGCUUAUUACCUGGCAAAAGGUAUUAAGCACCACACUUUCAAUACCUGUAGUCAACCAGAGCUUUAUGGGCUGCAACUUAUCAAAUGUGAUCUGGGUAAACUCCUUUGAUUUCAAUGCAGACUUAUACUGGGACUUUGGCUCUAUUUUAGCUAUUUAGUGUUUUGUCUCUGCUGGGACCUGGAGUCAGCCAGGGCUCUGGGGUGGACGUGCUGGGACUUCCCUGUGAGUUAAGGACAUCAAAGGGGCUUUGAAUUUUUAAACUGGCCUUGUAUUGGUUGUCUAGAACAUACACUAAAUAAGACAACUCUUGAAAAGGAUAAAUUUAGAUCUGAUGAAUAAAUAAAAGGGUUCAGAAACCAAUUUCUCUCCAACUUUACAGCAGGACAGACUUUGCUCUUGUGUUACCCUUUGUCUACUACUUUCCAGAAGCCUCUAGCAAGUUCCAUGUGGAUCUAUCUGGGUUCCUGGUGUACAAUCCUCCCCACUAUGCCCUGCAGGAAAGGCUGACACUUGUUCCCCACUACUUCCAGGGCUGCCCCCAUCCCAUAUGCCAUGUCCCACCCCUUCACCUGCUCCUGCCCUAUUGCCUGGAGAUCACUGGCUUGGCUAUGAUGCCUCCUGGACCGUUCCAUGCAGAAUAGACAGUCCACAUCUUCUCCUGAGGCAUCACCUGUGGUAAGACAGCUGUGACAAAUCUUCUGUUUAAGAGGUAAAUGCAUCCCACCGUGAGCAACAGUAUUAUUCCCAAAAACCCUAAAUUUGGCCAUUAGUGUUUAACCAGUCAGUAAAUCAUAUUCCCUUGUGUGCACUGAACUUGCUCAUGGUAAUAGUCAUUACCUAGAGCACCUUCUGACUUUAUAAAGAAUAUCAGCCAGUGCAGAAUGACAACCAAGAAAGUCAACCAGCUAUUUUGCAGCCAUUCUUUGGUGUAAACUCCAAAACAUUGCCUUGCUGUUUGUCCAGAAACUUUGUAAUGUGAUGGAGGUCUGUGUCAUGGCUGUGUGUCUGGGAGUCCCCACACAUGGCAUAAUAAGUUCUUUGUGUUGUCCCAGUGGGCUUGUAUCAUCUGUAGCAAUUCCUUUUCUUCUGUUUCCUAUCUGGAAAAUGAAAUUGUUGCUCUGCCUUGUCUAGCAAGAUGCUGGAUGAGCUGGGCCAGAAUCUCAGCUGGAGCCAGUUGGAUCUACUGUAAAUCAUAAAGUAAAACUGCAAUUUGACAUUUUGUGGUCCAGGUUCAGUUUGGCUGGCUGUCCAUCUGUCAAUGUGCCUGUUUGUGUUUGUCUGUCUAUCUUGUCCUAUAGUCAACUACUACACAUGCAUAUAUGAAAUUCCAUUUCAGUCCUGAUUCACAGAAGUAUUUAGUGCCUCAUUAAUCCUUAUGCAAUUCUGGACAUUUCAUCUUUUUUUUUUCUGGUGUUUUUGGGGUAAAGCUGACAAAUAAACAGCUAAAUCUUUCAGUCACUGGCUGCUGUAAUCAACUAGCUAUAAGAAGAUGUGGUGAAGUUAUUUCUAUUUUUCAGAGAGAAUAAUUCUUCUCUCUCCUUCCACAUGGCAGGAAAAAAAAAACGUUCUGGUAAUGUAGGAGCUUAGAAUUUGUUUUGAAAGUGCCUCUAGUUGACUGACAAGACAAACAAAUGUGGUUCACUUGUAUUAAAAAAACUGUUUUAUAAUCCUUCUAUACAAUGAAAAUGAUGUGUGAGGUAUAAAUAUUCUGGAGUAACAAUUGCAUCCACUUAAAUUUGUGAAAGAAAUAACUAAGGAAAAUGAUGUUGCAAGUGAUUUCACACCUGACCUGGGGCUUUGCAGUUCAUCAGCCGAUGAAACUGUAGGGUCCCCUCCUGCUUUCCAGUUCCAGCUUAUAUCAGGCCAGUGUGUGUCAGUGAACAGCUGCAUACUGUGGCUACUUAAAUUAACACUAAACAGGAUGUUUCAAUUGAAGCUACGCUUAUUUCAGCAGUAAGCUCAGAAUUUGUCAAUAUCUGAGGUGAUACUUCAGGGACCUUGAUGUCCUCAAGCUCAUGUUCUGGGGCAGGCUGCUAGAUCCUCUUGGAAAUCAAGGAACUCGUAUCCGUGUACUUCUCAGUAAGUCUUUCUUCACCUUUUUAAGGGAGAAUUGACUGCUGACUUGAUUGCUUGCAUGUUGUGUGUUUUGGAUCUCAUAUAUACACAUAUUUAAGAACUGCUUUUCCACUAAGAAUCAAGUGAACAUUUCCCAUAAAUGCUUUAUCUUUUGUCCCUUUUCCCUUAUCUUGAGAAAAGCUCAUCUUCGUGCGCUUGUUUACUCAUAUGAUGAAAAAGUAUCUUUUCUUCCUAGUCAUUGUGUACGAAUCUACAAUAAAAAUGAGGUAUAUAAGCCAUCAGAGACAUAGCUACAGGCAAGAAGCAAAGUGGGCUUAGUGACCUUGAUGUGCAUGCCAUAGUUGUUAUGGCAACAGGCAAGUGAAAUCACUGUUGCUAAGGCUCAAAGAAAUAAAGCAAUCUCAGUCACUUAGUGGUCAUUAUUCUCUAGUAACUUAAUUUUGAGUUUGCUGCAAGCUAAACUGCGAAAUGAGUCAGCAAACGAUCUGAAAUACUUAGGAAAAAUAUGAAUGAGGGGAUAUUCUUUUCAGUCCACUUCCACUGAGCCCCUUCAGCGACAAUGUCAGGAGCAACCACAGAGGUUUUCAAGCACCUGGUGAAUUGGGGAGAUAAUUCCCAGUGGUUAUUAGGAGCCACAUUGCGACGCAAAGUGCAGCCUUGAGGCAGGAGCAGCGGAUGGUGCUGACCCCCUGGAAGAGCAGGAGACAGCGUGGUCUGGAGAUAUUUCUCUUUCUUAUCUGAGAUUGGUGAUUUGCAGCUUGUAUUUAUGAGCAAUAAAUUAUAAUUCUAUGCCAUACUUUUAUUUUUGCUUGACCACAGCUAAGAUUUGACUAAUCCUCUCAGACGUGUGAGGACUGGACAGAAGUGUAGUUAGACUAGGAGAAAAAGAAUUCUUUUUUUUUGUGUGUGUUUUUAACAGGUGAAAAUAAAGAC
Long non-coding RNA from Columba livia (rock pigeon), 7701 nucleotides. RefSeq lists it as uncharacterized. The record is from RefSeq and is a predicted model, not a curated record. The transcript has 4 exons. Lineage: Eukaryota; Metazoa; Chordata; Aves; Columbiformes; Columbidae.